This is a long non-coding RNA of Dreissena polymorpha, 655 nucleotides long. RefSeq lists it as uncharacterized. NCBI's taxonomy places the organism in Eukaryota, Metazoa, Mollusca, Bivalvia, Myida, Dreissenidae. The transcript is spliced from 3 exons. The record is from RefSeq and is a predicted model, not a curated record.
AUCCGGAAACAGUCUUUUUGAAUCCAUCGGCGAAGGGGCGCCAUUUUGGAAGACGGAUACAGGCGACAUAGGUUCGGUUAGUGUGUUCGAUAAAUCAAGCUUCCCGCCCUGGCCACCGCUUCCUGUCGACAGAUGGGAGGCCGACAACGCAAGAGUCAUGUUCCGCUUCUUGUGUGACGUCAUUUCCGUUGGGUCUUAAAUGGCACCAUCAUCAUUACCAACAAAGCUACUUGUUACAAGUUCAGCCCAAGUAACACUCACUCCAAUCUGACAGCCUCAUCGACUGCAUUCGUCCCGAAAUUGCAAACACCUUAACAAUAGCCAGCUUGUAAAAGCAAUGACCGCUCAUACAACAGUUUAAGAACUUCCGUCGUCGUCCAUGCAGGCCUCACCGCCAACACAAGUUAUCAUCGCCAGUAUCACAGCUGAGAUCAGACUCGCCGUUUACACAUUCCACAUUCUCCUCGGUCACACCGCCAGCACACGUUACCUUCUAUACUAUCACAAUGUGCUCCAAUCGCCUUUACAAUCACAAUUGCUUUCACAUCUGACGCCAUCUUAGCCGCGUCCACCGCAAGCACCAGCUGCCAUCUUCGCCACCACAGUUGCAUUGGCAUCCGCCGUCUUCUUAUCCGUCAAAGCCGCCUUUACAAGC